RNAcentral lists this small nuclear RNA (170 nucleotides) under Oncorhynchus tshawytscha (Chinook salmon). RNAcentral describes it as "U2 spliceosomal RNA". It matches the Rfam family "U2 spliceosomal RNA". From Rfam's summary of the family: U2 is a small nuclear RNA (snRNA) component of the spliceosome (involved in pre-mRNA splicing). Lineage: Eukaryota; Metazoa; Chordata; Actinopteri; Salmoniformes; Salmonidae. The record is from Rfam by way of RNAcentral.
AUAUUAUUUAUUAAAAAAAAUCUGUUUCUAUCAGUUUAAUAUCUAUACGUCCCCCAUCGGGGACUAACAUAUUAAAUGAUUUUUCGAACAGGGAGUCGGAAAUGGGGCUUGCUCCCGUCCGCUCCACGCAUCGACCCGGUUUGCAGUACCUCCGGGACGGUGCAACACUU